GGUCAUGUGGCCUAGUGGUCAUGGCAUCUGCCCGGUAAGCAGAAGGUCGUGGGUUCGAUUCCCAUCCCUUGACACCU
This 77-nucleotide transfer RNA is filed under the name Cordylochernes scorpioides. RNAcentral's name for it is "tRNA-Thr". It matches the Rfam family "tRNA". From Rfam's summary of the family: Transfer RNA (tRNA) molecules are approximately 80 nucleotides in length. Lineage: Eukaryota; Metazoa; Arthropoda; Arachnida; Pseudoscorpiones; Chernetidae. The record is from RNAcentral.